GACGAACGCUGGCGGCGUGCUUAACACAUGCAAGUCGAACGCUGAAGCUCAGCUUUUGUUGGGUGGAUGAGUGGCGAACGGGUGAGUAACACGUGAGUAACCUGCCCCCUUCUUUGGGAUAACGCCCGGAAACGGGUGCUAAUACUGGAUAUUCACUGGUCUUCGCAUGGGGGCUGGUGGAAAGGGUUUUUCUGGUGGGGGAUGGGCUCGCGGCCUAUCAGCUUGUUGGUGGGGUGAUGGCCUACCAAGGCUUUGACGGGUAGCCGGCCUGAGAGGGUGACCGGUCACAUUGGGACUGAGAUACGGCCCAGACUCCUACGGGAGGCAGCAGUGGGGAAUAUUGCACAAUGGGCGCAAGCCUGAUGCAGCGACGCCGCGUGAGGGAUGGAGGCCUUCGGGUUGUGAACCUCUUUCGCUAAUGGUCAAGCCGCAACAAUGGUUGUGGUGAGGGUAGUGGGUAAAGAAGCGCCGGCUAACUACGUG
This 483-nucleotide ribosomal RNA is filed under the name uncultured bacterium. RNAcentral describes it as "partial 16S ribosomal RNA". It matches the Rfam family "Bacterial small subunit ribosomal RNA", at positions 28 to 507 of the family's 1533-position model. The record is from RNAcentral.